UGACCUCGGAUCAGGUAGGGAUACCCGCUGAACUUAAGCAUAUCAAUAAGCGGAGGAAAAGAAACCAACAGGGAUUGCCCCAGUAACGGCGAGUGAAGCGGCAAGAGCUCAAAUUUGAAAGCUGGCCCCCUCGGGGUCCGCAUUGUAAUUUGCAGAGGAUGCUUCGGAGGCAGCCCCCGUCUAAGUACCCUGGAACGGGUCGUCAUAGAGGGUGAGAAUCCCGUACGGGACGGGGUGUCUGCCACCGUGUGAAGCUCCUUCGACGAGUCGAGUUGUUUGGGAAUGCAGCUCUAAAUGGGUGGUAAAUUUCAUCUAAAGCUAAAUAUUGGCCGGAGACCGAUAGCGCACAAGUAGAGUGAUCGAAAGAUGAAAAGCACUUUGAAAAGAGAGUUAAAAAGCACGUGAAAUUGUUGAAAGGGAAGCGCUUGCGACCAGACUCGCCCACGGGGUUCAGCCGGCAUUCGUGCCGGUGUACUUCCCCGCGGGCGGGCCAGCGUCGGUUUGGGCGGCCGGUCAAAGGCCCUCGGAAUGUAACGCCCCCCGGGGCGUCUUAUAGCCGAGGGUGCCAUGCGGCCUGCCCGGACCGAGGAACGCGCUUCGGCUCG
RNAcentral lists this ribosomal RNA (605 nucleotides) under Penicillium cvjetkovicii. RNAcentral describes it as "LSU rRNA". It matches the Rfam family "Eukaryotic large subunit ribosomal RNA", at positions 1 to 609 of the family's 3401-position model. The record is from RNAcentral. Lineage: Eukaryota; Fungi; Ascomycota; Eurotiomycetes; Eurotiales; Aspergillaceae.